Long non-coding RNA from Cavia porcellus (domestic guinea pig), 8373 nucleotides. RefSeq lists it as uncharacterized. NCBI's taxonomy places the organism in Eukaryota, Metazoa, Chordata, Mammalia, Rodentia, Caviidae. The transcript is spliced from 2 exons. The record is from RefSeq and is a predicted model, not a curated record.
GGAGCCUGCGAAGAAAAACACACCAAGAGAGAGUUGGUCUUAUUACCUGGUCUCGGGUGAAUGAGAAGGCUAGCUUACACACAGAGGCACUAAGACACAGUCACCAGAACGGCAACGCAGACUCCAGGGUCCAACUGCCAAGGCCAAAGCCAUCACAGAGUGGAUGGACAUACGGAUGAGGGUCGGCAUCUCUGCAUUACUGGGGAAGAGGCAGAACUCUUUCUGCUGCUUCCCCUAUAGAAGCAGAAACUCACGUAGCAGAUCUGACCGACCGAUGAUGGGAAAUGGCCCUUUCUGCAAGGGUUUUAGACACCAAAGGGUUAAGGGUGACUAACACACCCAUGACCCCGAAGCAAGUCUUUUAGAGUUUGCCCAUGCUUGGGCUGAUGGAGGUCAAUCUUUACAGCAGGUGCGAAUGAAGCCGUUUAGAUGCGGUUCUGGUAAGAGGGUCUCCACGUUCACACACCACCAGAGCAACACAGAAGCAGCUGCCCACUCCUGAAGCCACCCCAUCAUGACAGAGCCCCCACACAGCAACAUCCCCAGAAUAGUUCAUAAGCACCUAGAAGCUCCACAACCAAAAAAAAGCACAGCGGGAUUCAUUUAGGGCUGAACUCUGCACAAGUGUGGUUAUUAGCGAGUUUUCUUUUUUGCAUCCAGCAAUCUGACAUAUCCCCAAAUCAAACAUAACUAGAAUUGGACAGACCCAAACCCCUGUCACGUCAUUGCUCCUAAAUGACUGGAACUUCCACACUACUAUGGGGUCCAUUUAGCAUCUCCAAUCUGCGCCCUGUCGUUCCUCUGAAGUGAAAUGACUCAUGAGUAACAGAAAACAGCCAAUUGAGGCAACAGUGUUCUGAGAAACGCUGGUUUAUGGGGCGGUUCAAAAAGAAAUCUGAACAAAAAGUUGCUGGAUGCAGAAAACAAAAACACGAAAUAAUAAAAAGGCAAAAUGUAAACAAAUGAAAAAAAAAAAAAAGAAACAGGCAUAACACCAAGCUGAUGAAGUUGUUUGUACUGCACCUUCUUUCUGCUUUUGGCUAAUUUCUGGGCCAUCUGCUUAGCAUGGAACAAACAAAGACAGGAGAACAGUUAGAAAAGAAAUUUGCAGAGACUCAAAGUCCAAAAGGGAGCGGACAGAUCAAUACUUGUGGUAUAAAGCAUUGUGGUGGGAGGAGGACUGGUUUUUUAAAAAAAACAAACAAACACCUACUUGUAAGAUAAAUUAUGUCCCAAAUCAGGAUUUAAUAUGUGGUGAGGGAGGUGGGAUGAAGGAAAUGUACAGAGGUGCUUCUUACGCUUAAUGGCAAUUGACUUUUUCAAAGAAUUUCUGCUUUUAAUUCUACUUUAUAGUAUGUUUAUUUUCUUACUAUAUAGAGUCUAGCCUAGAUUAUAUCUGCUUUCUUUGGGCUUAAUUUGCCCGCUUUUUCAGUAUCUUGAGAUAAAGACUUAAACUAUGGCUUCUCAAACUCUUUUCUUAUGUUUAAAGCUAUGACUCUCCCUGUAAGCAUGGCUUUGGCUUCAUCCCACAAAUCUUGGCAUGCUACAUUUACUGCUUUCCACUAAAAUACUUCAUGAUUUCACCUGAUUUCUUCUUUGAAUCUUGAGUCAUUCAGAAUUGUGUUAUUAAUUUCAACACACCAGGGGAUUUUCUAGUUAUUUUUUGGUACUGGUUUCUGCAUUAAUUUUAUUACGGUCAGAAGGCAAACUGUGUGUGAUUUCAAUCUGCUGACAUUUGCUGAGUCUCUGUUAUGACGCAGCACACAGUUAACUUUGGUGAAUUUGUCAUACAGACAUCAAAAUACACAUUCUGAAGUUGUUGGUUAAGAUGAUUGUUCAGAUUUUCUGUGUGCCUGCUGAUUAUUUGCUUUAUUUAGUUGAGAAAGGCAUGCUAAAAUUUCCAGCUGUUACUGUGGAUUUGUCUAUGCAUCCUUCUAGUUCUGACAAUCUUUGCUUUAUCUAUCUUUAUCUAGCUAUGUUAGAAGGGGCUUAUAUUUAGGAUGGUAUAUCUUCCUAUUCAACUGAUACUUUCAGUGCUAUUCUUCAUCUCUAGCAAUACUUUUUCCUUAAGUAUAUAUAGCAUUAACAUAGUUUAUAGCUAACUAAAAAUGGACAUAUUUCCUCUUUGCUAGUAACUAAAAGAUAGAAUAGUUGAUAAAAGCUGGGACUGGGUUAUCUCAAGCCAAAUCCUGACUCUGACAUCUACUAGCUGUGCAGCUUUGAGCAGCAGAUUAAUGCCUAUGUCCUUUAGUUUUUUCAUCUCUAAAGUGAGGCUUAAAAAUAGUAUCUACCUUAUGGGGCUGUUUUGAGACUAAAUGAACACGUGCAAAGCUCUUCAAAUAGCAUUAUUAAGAGCCGUAUUUGUGCCUGCUGAAUAUGAUUAUUAUUACCUAUACUGGAAUGCAAUUCCUGGUUUUUUGUAAGGUUUGCUAAAUAUACACACACAGAUCUUAUAUGAAUAGUGGUGAAUCAGUGGUCAAACUGUGGGCGCUGUCUUGAUGGGUGUGGUGUAUGGAGGAAAAGCUGCUGGACCACAUUCCUUGGUACUCACCUGGCAGGAAUCUUUUUUGCUCUCAGCAGGACUUCUAUCUUAUUAACAACUAAAAUGUGUUGCUUGCACUCCCUCACUGUGGAGAAACUGGAUGAGACAGCCACUGAAACACCAAAUAGCUAAUCUAGUACACCCAGGAAAGUGGGGCAGCCCUGUCCCCACGCAGCAGCCCCACAGCUCUCCCCGGCAGUUUCGAGUUCCUGGGAGACCCUCUGCCCUGGAGACACUGAAGGCAGCAACUGCCUGUCAGCCUAACUGCUGCAUGUGGCAGUGGGAACAUCUGUGCAUCUGAGAAGUGGUCCUCAACCGGAGCUGUGCCGUGCUAGAGGUUCCUGUGCGGAAUCUGGGUGUACUGCCCAGGUGGGCCCUUUACAACCUGCCUGGUAAGUAACUGCUGAGACCUGGGGGUUUCCUGCUGCCUCUUCUGAAGUAAGGUAAUGCACUGGGAAUUUCUGUCAUGUUUAAAGCCACAAACUGAAGACUGGCUGGUCAAAAGUCUUUACCUGUAGGGCACUGUAACUUGAAAGAACCCUUUUAUAGGAGAACAGACUCACCACCAAUGGAAACUCAAAUUUUGUUUGCCCUGGACCCACUAGUGAGGAAGGAUAUCAUAAACACAAACUGAGUAUCCUGAAAAAGAUUUUGAAGUGAUUAUUAUGAGGCUAAAGAUAUUUUAUCCACUUAGUGUAAUAAUCAUCUGAAAAUCACUUAUGACAUCCAAGUGCCCUGCUACAAAUUAGAAUAUAAAAUUUGGAUGUGAGAUGGAAAGUGGGGGAAGCCAACCAGAAUGAGAAAUCAGAGUAUCAGAAAGAGGUGUCAGGGAAACAGGGCUAGCCCGCAACACAGAGCAAAAAUGACAAUAUCCAUUUAAGUCUCUGUGCUUUAUGAGAUCAGUCACGGCUUAUAAGCCAGUGGAUUGAGGUGCAAAAACCAGACUGUGGCCCCAUACGUAGGCUCAAACCUAGUGUUGAUUUAAAAUUUGUGGCUUUAAAUGUAACAGAAAUUCUAUUGCAUUGCUUUACUUUGGAAAGCAGAGCAGGAAGCAUUCAGGGCUCAGCAGUUAUCUGCUGUGGCUGAGCCAUCUAGGUUAGUUCUAGCUUUUUCUUCCCUAGCCAACAUCUGCUGCUGUAGGAUAGGAUCCUACUUAACAGUUUACAUUAAGUCAGUAUAAAAAUUUACAACCGUGGAGGUAGGUGCCGCAUUAUACUCACUUUUCAGAAGAGGAAACUGCGGCAGAGAGAGGGGCUCAUUAAUUUGCCUAACCUCACACAGCUAUAAAGUGGCAGAACAGAGAUGCCAGUGCAGGCCGUCCCAGAGCACAUUCUGUGCCACCUGCUGAGGACUGGGAAGCCUGUAUUCUAAGAGUUCAGUUUGCCUAUGAAAUGUGAUUGAACUUUCUCACUUUCCAGAAUUUCUGACCCUUUGCAUUUUGAGGGGCAAAUGAGCUAUUGUAUGUGGGUGCUAGUAUAUGCUUUACUGAUCACACAAGCAAGAUGGGAAAUGGUGUAACUCAAGACAAAACUCAAUGACAGAAACUUUAAUUCUAUAAUAAACUCAUAAUUUUUGACAUCUAAAGAAAAUACAGUGGUACUUCAGUUCAUGAACUUCACUCUUUCCACAUCUCUGGUCACCAACCAAAGUGGAUGAGAACUAAAUCAAAUUCGAUGGUUAGCAUCAAUGUUAACCUUAUGGGGAAGCUUGAUUAGGUUCUUGUCCAAUUCAGUUUGCAAACAGAAAUGUGGAAAGAGUUAACGAAGUUCAUGAAUGGAGGGACCACUGUAACAAAAGAAUGAAAAAUCUGGUCUGUAGGAUAGGUUCGUACAGACAGACAGGAGAGUGUUUAAUAAUGAAUGUUCCUUGCAAAAACACUUGCACUAUGAAAUACAUUAACACCAUCUGUGACGUAGUUACAUGAACUUCAUAGAGACAGAAGAAUGGAGAUGCAGGCGGCACACUUUGCACGGUCAAGCAGCAGACUCUGGCUCAGGUAGGGCUCAGUGAGCCGCCUGCACAGAAUUAAUUGAGAAUAAGGAUGCGACGUAAGGAUGGAGUCAUAAUGGACAGAAGGAAGACAGGCGAACCAGCUGCAUUGGCUUCAAGUUUCACACUCUCUCAAUGGGGCAGGCACAGUGUGACCACUGUGUGCCUCUGUGUAGGGCACAAGAGACACCCACAGGACAGAAGGCAAAGCUCUCUUCAGAAGCUUCUCUCAAACUUGCUUCCAGAGUGCUAGCAACAAGACAUGAGCAGGUAACACCUGCUGAUAGUGUAUUCUGUGCUCACACCAUCAGGGGACUCAUAAAUGAGGUCUCCUUAAUUCAGGACUCCUCAGCUUGUUCCCCAUUUCUAUUACUAAUUGUACCUAUUAGUGGGGUUCUAUAUGACAUUUCCAUAUACGCAUGCUCUGAUCACUGACCACCCCUUCCUGCUCCCCAUCCCCAGCACCAUUCCAUCUCUUCUGAUCACUAUUCCAAUCUCAGGCUUUUUAUAGCUUCCAUAUGAGAAAACAUUCAGCACUUGUCCUCCUGUGUCUGGCUUAUUUCAUUUAAUGUCCUUCCGCUCCAUCCAUUUUGCUGCAAAUGAUAGGCUCUCAGUCCCAUUUAUGGCUAAUACUACGUUGUGUAUUAUACUACAUUUCCUCUUUAUCUGUUGAGAAGCUCAUUCUACACCUUGGUCAUGUGUACAGAGAAGUCCUUGGUGUGUUAAUUUCAUUUAUUUUGGAUAUAUACAUGGCAGAUCUAUUUCUGCUGUUUCAGAGGGACCUUCAAAGUGUUUUCCAUAAUAGCUGGCCUAAAGUACCACCAAGAGUGUAUAAGACUUCUUUUUUAUCCACAUUCUUGCAAGCAUUAUUGCUUUUUGGGUAACAGCAAUCCUCAAAAGGAUGGAAUGGUGUCUCAUUUUAGCUUGCCCUGAUAUGCAUUUCCCUGCUGGCUAAUGAUACUGAACUUUUUUGGCCAUUUGUAUUUCUUAGAAGUGUCUAUUCAGAUCAUUUGCCAUCUCCACCUUUUUUGAGAUGCACUCUUGCUAUAUUGUCUAGGCUAGCCCUAGACUCCUGGGCUAGGGUGAUCCUGCUACCUCAGCCUCCUAUAUAGCUAGGACUAGCAGUGCUUCAACACCCUUUUAAAACUGAAUUACUUCUCUUAGUAAGUCUGAGUUCUUUAUAUAUUCUUGUAUUAAUUUAGUCAAAUGAAUUAGAAAUAUUUUCCCAUUCUGUAGGUUCCUUCACUUUGCUGUUUCCUUUGUUACGCAGAAGUUUUUAAUGCAAUCCCAUUUGUCAAUUUCUGCAAUUGUUUCUUGUGCUUUUGGAGGGCUAUCUAGAAAAAUCAUUAUUGAUACUAAUAUCUUGAAGGAUUUCCUCUGUUCUUCUAGUAGUUUCAGAACCCUAAGUUUAGGUCUUUGAUCCAUCUUGAGUUGAUUUUUGUUCCCACCCAGAAGCCAACCAGGCAGCCUUUCUGGUAAGCCAUAAAAACCACAUGGCAUCCAGGAAGAGAGAAAUCACCUCUGGUGAGCCUGCUGGCCCACAGACUGAGAAUCAAGAACCAUGCUCCCAGCCCUACGUUCGAAUGAACUAUGGAGCUUCUGAAAACCAAUCCCUUGGAAGCUUCGGAGUAAAAUUUCUGACUUCUUAUGAGGGAGCUGGGCUUUCAGGGAAACGCAACACUAUUACAUGCUGCUGUGUAAACAAGAAACCACCGGUUCCAGAUCCAGCUGGCACCAGAUGGGGCCUGCAGAGAUGCUGCUGUACCCCACUUGCUCAGGUAAGGUGCCUACCUUCCCCUGACGACCGUCUGAGUCCUAUCUUCCCACUCCCCUCUGAGACUGAAUGCAGACAUUCCACUGACAGGUGUGCAGCACUAGCAGAAAGUGAAUACACAAAGCGCCCAAAAUAAAACCUGAAUCUGAAGAUUUUAUAAAACACGUAGGAGAACCUAACCUCCGGCAACACGCAAUUUUCUCUCCCUGAGGUCUCCAGUGCUCCUGAGGGGCAGACUUGCUUUCUUUGGAAGAGCACCUGAGUGGGUUCUGAAUGCGUGUCUUGGGGUGGGCACUGUGGCAUUUUGGUGGAGGUAAGUUUGUGUUGUGUGUGUGGCUUGGUCCUGGCCAUCACAGAAUGGUGGGCACACAUACUCGUUCUGGUUCUAGAAUUACUGUGACAAGCAGAAGUGCCCGUCCCCACCUGUCAGAGAACCACUGGAGAGGGUACACAAGGUCUCUGUCUUCUCCCUCUGGAAGCUAACAGGACCCCAGCUAGAAACCUGGAGCUAGGUAUACUACCUGGAGGACAGGAACGACCAAUGAUGGCCCCGUGGCCUCUGCAUGAGGCAGCACAAGAGGGUCCCUGAAAAGUAGCUCGCUCUCUAUGACAGGGCUGUGUGGUAUUCUGAAUGCUGUGCCUGGCAGAUGCUGAAUUCAGAUGCAGAUGACCACUGGGGAGUCUGCUAUCAUUAACGUCACCUCUCAAGGGCAGGAAAGAUGAGUCCACGUGGUAUCUACAGUUCGGGUCCGGAAUGUUCCCACAUAUUAAAGGCCUGGCUGCCAGACUGUGGCAUUCUUGGGGGGUGAAGGGGUAGGGUCUACAGUGAGAAGUUCUCCCUUCUUUCUCCCUCUCUCUGCCUCCUAGUCCCCAGAAGCUGAGCAGUUUUCUGCACCACAGGCUCAAGGCAAUGUGACUACAUGACCACGGACUGAAAUACCUCUGAAUAAAGCUACCUUUCUUCCUGUCAGUGUGAUAAAGUUAUUAACACAGCAAGCUUGGGCAGGCAGCUCAUAAAUUUACCACGGCUCUGGGUGCCUCUUGGGAGCCAGCAGAAUGAAGGUCCUGGUAUUUCUAGGAGUUAUUUACGGGGAAAGAUGCACCACUGUGAAGGGCCAGAGGGAGCGGGGAAGGAGACUUCCCUUGGAAGAACCCACUCCCCACUUCAUCUGUGGGGGAAGGGCUAUUUUAGGAGAAGACAGGACAGGAGGGGGCUGCAGGGCUUCUGAGAGACAGGCACGCUUUGCGUCCCAGCUGAGACAGCUGAAUGGGCCCCCACAGACGGAUGGAUGAGCGAGCCCUGUCGGUAACACUGGCACUAGUUGGCAGUAACGUAAAUUACUCCUUAUCCAUCCUAAGCAGGACCGAAAGUGGCAGCGUGGAGCUACUGUACACACGAUGGGCAGUUAAGGAAAGGACCCGCUCUGAAGAGAAGCAGCGAGUGACACACGAAGGACAUGUAGGCCCCGCAGCAGGUGCAAUGCAAAGCCGCAUGAUGAAGCAAUGAGAGGGGACCUGGUGACAUUCGCACAGCAUCAUGGGGAACUGCAGCAUAGCUGGGGGCGCCAAGGCAUCAUAAUUAGGGCAGCAACGGAACUGUGACCUGUCCAACGUUUGCCACAGGGCAGAGCCAGGACACGGGCCGUCACAGGUAUCCGUUCAGCUGAAGGACAUGUGACCAUCACAGGUAUCCCUUCAGCUGACGGACAGGCCUACAGCAGUCACCACUCUCCCUGUCAGUCCACUCUGAGGACCCCCCCACCCCGUACUCCCUGUAAUCUGUGGGCUGAGGUCUACCUGUGCUGUUGAACUUACAGGUCUCACUUUACCAAUCACUACUUUUUUUUUUCCUCCAAAGCCCAUUAACACAAUAGCCACCAGGAAGAUUCUGUCAGAGAGAUCAGAGACCUCAUUUACUGUCUCCUCUCCCUCCCGCCUCAUUCCAUGUUACACCAGCACCCACUCUGAGAAUGUGGAGGACACGGAAAGGGGAGUGACUCUUCUGGUGUGGCAUUAAGGGUAUCAAGUAUGAGCAGGUGGAAUGGAAUAAAACUUAUUUUGGUGAAAA